AGUGCUUUGCUCCACCCAACUCGUAACCAAUUAGAAAGAUGGGAAGGAGUUGGCAAAGCAAGGUUCUGA
This is a microRNA precursor of Caenorhabditis elegans, 69 nucleotides long. The record is from Ensembl. NCBI's taxonomy places the organism in Eukaryota, Metazoa, Nematoda, Chromadorea, Rhabditida, Rhabditidae.